This 76-nucleotide transfer RNA is filed under the name Neisseria gonorrhoeae. RNAcentral's name for it is "tRNA-Lys". It matches the Rfam family "tRNA". Rfam says of the family: Transfer RNA (tRNA) molecules are approximately 80 nucleotides in length. Their secondary structure includes four short double-helical elements and three loops (D, anti-codon, and T loops). Further hydrogen bonds mediate the characteristic L-shaped molecular structure. tRNAs have two regions of fundamental functional importance: the anti-codon, which is responsible for specific mRNA codon recognition, and the 3' end, to which the tRNAs corresponding amino acid is attached (by aminoacyl-tRNA synthetases). tRNAs cope with the degeneracy of the genetic code in two manners: having more than one tRNA (with a specific anti-codon) for a particular amino acid; and 'wobble' base-pairing, i.e. permitting non-standard base-pairing at the 3rd anti-codon position. The record is from RNAcentral. RNAcentral also lists the same sequence under 1 other name. Lineage: Bacteria; Pseudomonadati; Pseudomonadota; Betaproteobacteria; Neisseriales; Neisseriaceae.
GGGUCGUUAGCUCAGUCGGUAGAGUAGCGGACUUUUAAUCCGUUGGUCGAGCGUUCGAAUCGCUCACGACCCACCA